UACGUAGGUGGCAAGCGUUGUCCGGAUUUACUGGGCGUAAAGAGCGCGCAGGCGGUCGUCCAAGUCGCGUGUGAAAGCCCCCGGCUCAACUGGGGAGGGUCACGCGAUACUGGUCGACUCGAAAGCAGGAGAGGGUAGUGGAAUUCCCGGUGUAGUGGUGAAAUGCGUAGAUAUCGGGAGGAACACCAGUGGCGAAGGCGACUACCUGGCCUGUUCUUGACGCUGAGGCGCGAAAGCUAGGGGAGCAAACGGG
This 253-nucleotide ribosomal RNA is filed under the name uncultured bacterium. RNAcentral's name for it is "partial 16S ribosomal RNA". It matches the Rfam family "Bacterial small subunit ribosomal RNA", at positions 524 to 776 of the family's 1533-position model. The record is from RNAcentral.